UAGGGAAUCUUCCACAAUGGGCGCAAGCCUGAUGGAGCAACGCCGCGUGUGUGAUGAAGGCUUUCGGUCGUAAAGCACUGUUGUAUGGGAAGAAAUGCUAGAAUAGGGAAUGGUUCUAGUUCGACGGUACCAUACCAGAAAGGGACGGCUAAAUACGUGCCAC
This 163-nucleotide ribosomal RNA is filed under the name uncultured bacterium. RNAcentral's name for it is "partial 16S rRNA". It matches the Rfam family "Bacterial small subunit ribosomal RNA", at positions 355 to 511 of the family's 1533-position model. The record is from RNAcentral.